CCUACGGGGGGCAGCAGUGGGGAAUAUUGGACAAUGGGCGAAAGCCUGAUCCAGCCAUGCCGCGUGUGUGAAGAAGGCCUUCGGGUUGUAAAGCACUUUCAGUGGGGAAGAAAGCCUUGGGGCUAAUACCCUCGAGGAAGGACAUCACCCACAGAAGAAGCACCGGCUAACUCCGUGCCAGCAGCCGCGGUAAUACGGAGGGUGCGAGCGUUAAUCGGAAUUACUGGGCGUAAAGCGCGCGUAGGCGGUCUGAUAAGCCGGUUGUGAAAGCCCCGGGCUCAACCUGGGAACGGCAUCCGGAACUGUCAGGCUAGAGUGCAGGAGAGGAAGGUAGAAUUCCCGGUGUAGCGGUGAAAUGCGUAGAUAUCGGGAGGAAUACCAGUGGCGAAGGCGGCCUUCUGGACUGACACUGACGCUGAGGUGCGAAAGCGUGGGUAGCAAACAGGAUUAGAUACCCUGGUAGUC
RNAcentral lists this ribosomal RNA (465 nucleotides) under Vreelandella stevensii. Its description in RNAcentral is "partial 16S ribosomal RNA". It matches the Rfam family "Bacterial small subunit ribosomal RNA", at positions 338 to 795 of the family's 1533-position model. Lineage: Bacteria; Pseudomonadati; Pseudomonadota; Gammaproteobacteria; Oceanospirillales; Halomonadaceae. The record is from RNAcentral.